This 1079-nucleotide long non-coding RNA is filed under the name Anser cygnoides (Swan goose). RNAcentral's name for it is "lncRNA (ENSACDG00005010451.1)". The record is from RNAcentral. Lineage: Eukaryota; Metazoa; Chordata; Aves; Anseriformes; Anatidae.
UGUAUAUCAUGUUUUCAUUUGAAAAGAAACUUUUAGCAUCACUGUAUAGACAAAAGAGUGUGGGUUUUAUCUACUGUUUAUCAAAAAUGAUCAAUUUUUGUUGAAAAGAUCUGUAAUAGAGCUUAUUGUGAGAAAUAGGAACUGCUGGUAAGUAAGAUCUGCAUUUUCGGCAAAGAUCUUCCAUCAGUAUAGAAAAGCAAUCAGAUUUACUAUUUUUAAAUUUUGUUAGCAUUACAUUUUUUGAUGCACCAACUGCAUGGUAUCAAAAUAGUUAUGCAGCUAGUCCAGAGCCCUGGUUUGGAAGGCUCUACAAUUUAUAGGAAAUACUUGUGAAAGAGAAGAAUUCAGGGAAAUUCAGUUGCUGGCUCUUCUGUGCUCUAGAAAAGAAGUAAUAUAUUCUCUAACUUUCUUUUCAAGAAAUAUUUAAUGCAAGUAGCUCUUUUUUUUUUUUUUAAUCCAAUGUGAAACCAAAAUGUCCCCAAUGUACUAAGCAUGGGUAAAUUAUACUGUUGCUACAACAUUUACGAUGUUAUUGCAUACUUAAAUGAGUAUAGUAGAGGAUAUGUUAUUUUUACAUCAAUUUAACUUCAUACUAACAUUUCUUUGCCUUUGAGAAUGUUGCUUUAUCCUUAAGCAGAGAUUUUCACUGAGCUACUAUGCCCCAGACAUGCAUGAGACAACUGUACUGUUCCUUACUGAAAUUGGUUUUCAUCACGACAAAUUCCAUGAAGUAGUUGGAGGCGGGGGGCUAUCAGUGGAGUUGUCUUGAUGUUGGUCAGUACAGAAUCAGAAGUUCUGUUGGCAAACUUUGAGCACUAUCCUUCUGGAAGGCCAGGAACUGGGGACAUCAUGGCCAAAUGACAGGGCUUCUGCUCAUCCUCUCUGUAAGUAACUUCCUCAUAAAUGAAGUAUAAACACACUACUCUGCAGGAAUUAGAUAUUUUCCUCACUUAAAAUGCAUGAAAUAUCUCCAUAGACAGAAGGAGUAUUCCUUCUGAUACUCAUAAAUGUAGGGGAGACACAGAUGUCACCUUUCAGACACACAGGUUAAACCUCUUUAUAAAGUGGUUUGGAAGAGA